AACGAACGCUGGCGGCAGGCCUAACACAUGCAAGUCGAACGAGAAGCCACCUUCGGGUGGUGGACAGUGGCAGACGGGUGAGUAACGCGUGGGAACGUGCCUUUCGGUUCGGGAUAACCCAGGGAAACUUGGGCUAAUACCGGAUACGCCCUUCGGGGGAAAGAUUCAUUGCCGAAAGAUCGGCCCGCGUCGGAUUAGCUAGUUGGUGGGGUAAAAGCCUACCAAGGCGACGAUCCGUAGCUGGUCUGAGAGGAUGACCAGCCACACUGGGACUGAGACACGGCCCAGACUCCUACGGGAGGCAGCAGUGGGGAAUAUUGGACAAUGGGCGCAAGCCUGAUCCAGCCAUGCCGCGUGGGUGAAGAAGGCCUUAGGGUUGUAAAAUCCUUUCGCCGAGGACGAUAAUGACGGUACUCGGAGAAGAAGCUCCGGCUAACUUCGUGCCAGCAGCCGCGGAAA
RNAcentral lists this ribosomal RNA (459 nucleotides) under uncultured bacterium. Its description in RNAcentral is "partial 16S ribosomal RNA". It matches the Rfam family "Bacterial small subunit ribosomal RNA", at positions 29 to 523 of the family's 1533-position model. The record is from RNAcentral.